This 235-nucleotide ribosomal RNA is filed under the name uncultured bacterium. RNAcentral describes it as "partial 16S ribosomal RNA". It matches the Rfam family "Bacterial small subunit ribosomal RNA", at positions 15 to 244 of the family's 1533-position model. The record is from RNAcentral.
GAUCAUGGCUCAGGAUGAACGCUAGCUACAGGCCUAACACAUGCAAGUCGAACGGUAACAGGAAGCAGCUUGCUGCUUUGCUGACGAGUGGCGGACGGGUGAGUAAUGUCUGGGAAACUGCCUGAUGGAGGGGGAUAACUACUGGAAACGGUAGCUAAUACCGCAUAACGUCGCAAGACCAAAGAGGGGGGACCUUCGGGCCGUCUUGCCAUCGGAUGUGCCCAGAUGGGAUUAG